RNAcentral lists this long non-coding RNA (852 nucleotides) under Callithrix jacchus (white-tufted-ear marmoset). RNAcentral describes it as "lncRNA (ENSCJAG00000083846.1)". The record is from RNAcentral. Lineage: Eukaryota; Metazoa; Chordata; Mammalia; Primates; Cebidae.
AUAGUACCUAAAGCAGUGCUUUCUUACCAAGUGCAUACCAAUAAGCAUUCCAAUACGUAAGAAUACAUGGCUCAAUCAAAUGCUUUCAAAUGUAGAUUGUCAACUCAUUCUGCCAUUUAAAAAUAUUCUGCUAAAAUUUUUAUUUUCCUCUAUUCAGGUGCUCCAAAGAAUCUGAGGAUAAAAACGUUUGAGUUACUGUAAUAAGAAGUGGAACAGGAUUUUAUUUUUUUCUCUCUCUGAGUUGUGCCAGGAAAACUAGUUCGACCUCAAGAGUUGAAAAGGUAGACCGAGAUCUGAGUAAGACUAAUGUGUGUGUGUGUGUGUGUGUACAUAUAUAUAUAUUUAACAAUCCUCUCUUUCUCUUUCUCUCUCUCAAAUAUUAAUUAAAUAUAUAUUGUAUUUCAGGCAGAUCCUUACACACAGACUAGAAAGAACAGAAGCCUAAGAACAAAUAAUUAAAGAAUAAUGCAAUAGUGUAUGAGCUAUAUUGACUAUUUAAAUAUAUUCAGCAGACUGUUUAAAUAUAUUUAAUCGUCAUGUGAUAAUCUCCACAAACUUUAGCCUAUUUGCAAGGACGUUAGAAGGUCUCAGUUCAAGGAUCUUACAACCCCUACUAGUGACCUCAGGACACUGAUGCUAUACAGAUUUAGAAUAAAGAAAUUUGUUGCCAUCACAACUGUUUCCUAUAUUUGCAGUCCUCAAUUGUUGCUCUAACUAGUGGAUUGUAGAAUAAAUCACUGUUAAAUUAUAUUUAAAACCUUGUAUCUUAUUACUAAUGCACCUUGGAAACUAUGAUUAAAUUGUGUUGAAAGUGAAACUAGAAUCUUGAGGACUAGGAUGCUGUAAUCAUCA